Molecule: ribosomal RNA, 497 nt
Filed under: uncultured bacterium
Lineage: Bacteria
Description: partial 16S ribosomal RNA
Rfam family: Bacterial small subunit ribosomal RNA
Source: RNAcentral
GACGAACGCUGGCGGCGUGCCUAAUACAUGCAAGUUGAGCGAUGAAGAUUGGUGCUUGCACCAAUUUGAAGAGCAGCGAACGGGUGAGUAACGCGUGGGGAAUCUGCCUUUGAGCGGGGGACAACAUUUGGAAACGAAUGCUAAUACCGCAUAACAACUUUAAACAUAAGUUUUAAGUUUGAAAGAUGCAAUUGCAUCACUCAAAGAUGAUCCCGCGUUGUAUUAGCUAGUUGGUGAGGUAAAGGCUCACCAAGGCGAUGAUACAUAGCCGACCUGAGAGGGAGAUCGGCCACAUUGGGAAUGAGACAAGGCCCAAACUUCUACGGGAGGCAGCAGUAGGGAAUCUUCGGCAAUGGAGGAAAGUCUGACCGAGCAAAGCCGCGUGAGUGAAGAAGGUUGUCGGAUCGGAAAACUCUGUUGGUAGAGAAGAACGUUGGUGAGAGUGGAAAGCUCAUCAAGUGACGGUAACUACCCAGAAAGGGACGGCUAACUACGUG